Molecule: unclassified non-coding RNA, 5746 nt
Filed under: Centruroides sculpturatus (bark scorpion)
Lineage: Eukaryota; Metazoa; Arthropoda; Arachnida; Scorpiones; Buthidae
Description: serine/arginine-rich splicing factor 1B-like, transcript variant X3
Source: RNAcentral
ACAAUGCAAUCUUCUGAGCAUGCGAAGUAGACCGAUCACAGCGACAAAGGAGGAGGUCGCCAUUUUAAGAAGUUAUACGUCGAUUAUAAUCCACUUCAAUCGUUUGAAAAAUAAUGUCUUAUCGAAAUAACGAUUGCAGAAUUUACGUCGGAAACUUACCACCCGAUAUACGUACUAAAGAUAUCGAAGACUUGUUUUAUAAAUUCGGUAAAAUUACUUUUAUCGAUUUGAAAAAUAGACGAGGCCCUCCCUUCGCUUUUGUAGAAUUCGAAGACCCCAGAGAUGCUGAAGAUGCUGUCCAUGCAAGAGAUGGUUAUGAUUAUGAUGGUUAUAAAUUAAGAGUAGAAUUUCCUAGAGGAAAUGCACCAGGUAGGGGAAUGGGUUCAAGGGGAAGAGGUAGAGGACCACCUGCUAGAAGAUCACAAUACAGAGUAUUAGUUUCAGGUUUGCCACCAACUGGUAGUUGGCAAGAUUUAAAAGAUCAUAUGAGAGAAGCUGGUGAUGUUUGCUAUGCUGAUGUUUAUAAAGAUGGUACAGGUGUCGUAGAAUUCCAGAGAUAUGAAGAUAUGAAAUACGCAGUUAAGAAGUUAGAUGAUUCAAGAUUCAGAUCUCAUGAAGGUGAGGUAUCCUAUGUCAGAGUAAGAGAAGAUUAUAAUGGUCGUUCCAGAUCCAGAAGUAGAAGUUAUUCUCCUAGACGAACUCGAGGCUCGCCUACUUAUUCUCCUGCUCUUCGCUCACGAUCUGGAUCUCGUUCGCGUUCUCCUUCAAGUUGAAAUUGUGGAGAGGAAAGCUGGACUCAUACUGGAAUCGUGGAGGUGAUAGUGUGAACAGGUUUUAGGACUUAAAAUGAAUCUUGAAAUCUUUAAGCAUGAAGCAUUUGGUGUCAUUUAAUUUCAUAUCAUUGUGAAUUGUAAUGCAUUAAAAUCAUAAGCAUAUGUGUAUGAAUAAUUGAUAUUUACCGUAACUAUUGUAGUCAUGAUUUAAAAUUUUAUUGCUUGAAUUUAAUGUGAUGUAAGGAAGGAAUGCACCUACUAAUUUCUAUUAUUAGUAGGUUGUAAAAAAUUAAAAUUAGGUAACAUGUAUAAUGUAGUUUUUUGACACCUUAAAUGAGUAUAAUUGUUUGUAAGCUAAAGAAUUGCAAAAUAUCUUUGAAACAUCUGUCAUAUUUUUAUAUGUUAAAAUUUUUUGUAUUAGUGUUAUUUCAUGUUCUAAUACUUAUACUUGUACCUGUCUUUAGACUAUGUAUGGAAACUCCCUGGAUUGCCACCUCGCAUGGCUAUACAGUGAGGAAUAAAGGAUUAUAUAUUGGAGGAUUGGAUCUGCCCUGGAUCAGUAGGGAAAUGGAUACAUGGAUGUGCAUGAAAUAAGGAUGGAUAGGAAGGAUAUAAACACUUAAAUCGAGGAUUAACGGAACAGAACUAAUCAUAAGUGGAACAUUACACACUUGCCACAUUCGGAAGUGUUAGUUGAUAAACACAUAAAGGGGAGUCACUACCUGGAAUAUAUAUGGGCAGUAUUGGAUGGAUCACAACAGCUUUCAUUCCUACUUUGCAAUAGGAGAAGUCAGGGAAAAGAAAUGGGAAUACACAAAGGAGUAGGACUUGAAAUAAAUGACUUUUUUCAUGUGGGAUUUGCACACAGGAGGAUUCUCAGGAGAUACUCUGGAUCGAGGGAUUGGGAGAAAGCAUGGAUGCGCCGUGGGACAGAGGUAAAACAUUGUGAGGAUCAAGUUGAGGAUCUUUGAAGUUACAUUUUCAAGACUUCAAACUUUAUUAGGAGAUUCCUCGUAAUAUAGGAUGGUGGCAAGAAGAUAGGAUUACAAAAACUGGAUUACAAAAAGUAGCCAUAGUUUUAGCAUCAAUUUAGAAAUCUAUAUGCUAUUUUAAAUUAUCUGAAUCACAAUCAUUUUCCAUUUAAUUUUUUUUCUCAAUUUAUUUAUUUAAAAUUUUAUACUUUAGAAUAUUUUUUUCUCUUAAGUGUGACAUUUAUGAAAGUUACUUUGAAUGAAUUAUGAAAUAAUAAUUUUGUGUUUUGGCUACCUCAGAUGAUGUGAAUGGUGGUAAGUAAAUAAGGUAAGCUUAUAUAAAAUUUUAGGAAAUUGUUAUUUAGAAAGAGUUGUUCAUUUUUCUUAUCCUAAUAAAAUCUUUAUUGAUCUUUUAAUUAAACAGGAAUACCAACAAGUUUAGAAGUUAUAUAGAACAUAAUAAUAAAUGCUUGUUUUAUAACAAAAUAUAUGAAUUUGGGAUACGAAAAAUGAAUACUUUUUUUUUGUUCUUAAUGAUCCAGUUCUUAAUCUAUGAGUAUACAAUGGGAUGAAAUUUUAUGUUAAAUUGUGAGAUAUUGCAUUUAAUGAAAGUUGCAGGUGUAUAGUUUGAUUUAUUGAAUUUGAUGUAUUAUGUAUGAUUUCUGUUCUACUACUACUAUUAUUACUCAGUAGUAGUAGUAGAACAUUUCAAUUUUGAAGUAUAUUUAAAUAUUUAGUUGAUUUAUUGGUAGAGCUGGUCAAUACAAACAUUUUUUCACUGUAUACAACCAUUUUCAUUAAUAUGCUUAAAUAUGUGAAAACCAAGUUAUAAUUGUGGAAACUAUUAAAUUAGGAAUACAUAUAUAUUGAUUAAAUAGGUAUCAUUACCUUGUUAACGUUUUAAGUAUAGUACAAAGCUGAUAGAAAAACCUACUAUUAUGAUAUUGUUUGUGAAAGAAAAUUAAUUUUACAAUUUAUAUAUACAAAAUAUUUUUGGCAUUGCAUCAUAUUAAAACCAUUAAAAUUGUACAGAAAAUAAAAUUUACAGUUAAAUAAGAUUUCAAAUACUAAUUAACAGGUCAAAAUUACAUUCAAAAAAUUUCUUACUAAUCAAAAUGAUUGAUGCAUAAAAAAAUAAUACUUGUAAUAUGCAUCUCAGUGAUAUCUUAGCUGUAAAAAAUUUACUUUAUAAAUAGCUAUCAUUCUGAAACAUUUAAAACUGCAACAAAAUAUUACUUUUUUUCUUUAUGAAUUAAAAAGUAUUCAUUAGUUUGUAAAUAAUGUUACGUGUGUUUUGAUGCUGGUGAUAAAUUUUAAUAAUUAUACAUUAGUUAGCGCAUGCUUUUCCUUAGUGUUAAGUGAGUUAUCAGUGGGGACACUAAAUAGGGUGAGUAUAAUAUUAUCUAACUAAAUUUUGUUUGAGAAAAUUAGUUUUAGAUAAAUCUUUGAUAUUCAGUAGUAAGGUUUCUUAACAUAAAAAUGCUUUACCAGUACUAAUAAUAUAUCCUUAAGGGGUUAAUUAAUUAUCAGCAUUUUCUCACAAAAAAUUUAAGAAAAUUUAUAUAAAAAACAUGGUAGUUUUAAGAUAAUUUUAUAUACAAUGUUUAGAUCCAUUCUAAACAUAAAUAUUCUUUCAUUUGAAGAAAUGUUAAUUUUAAAGUAGAAAUAAACCCCUUAAGUACUCCUAGAGACUCUCCUAAAAAUGUUUGUGUUAUGGUCAAGAUGAACCUGAUAGUUUACUCAAUGUAAUGUUUUAAUUGAAUUAAUAAUGAUCUAGCAUUUAUUCAUUAUUAAAAUUAUUGUGUGAAGGUAUUUUUUCAAAACUAUAUUAAAUCUAGAAUUUUAAUUUUUAAAGACCAAUGCUUAAAUCAAAUGAGAGAGUUUUGUCCAUUUUGUGAAAAAGAAACUUGUACUAUACAUUCUUUUCAGACAUAUUCAAGUUAAUUGUAUUAGCAAAUACAGUAUAACACAACACAGUAUAAGUGACAACUUUCAAUUUUAUUAUAGAAAAUUUAACAAUGCUUUUCAGACUUCUUUUAGUGUACAGAAGAUUAAUUUUGAUCAAAUGACUGUGAUUUGAUCUGUUUGAGAACAGUUUUAACAUGACAUAUGAAACUUGAUUUUAAUUCAUUGUCAAUCAUCAAAAUGCGUACAGAAAAUCGGAUGUUGAAUUAAUUGAUCCCUAAAAUAAUCUAGUAGAUGAUUAGACAUCAAUCGAUUGAAUUUAUGAUCAUACUUCCGCCGAAUUGAUUGGUGGUUUUAAAUGUGGCUGAAAGCUUUUGUUAGAUAUGGGAUUUCAUAUUAUAAUUAAAUACAAAACUAAGGAGGUGAGGGGUUUUUCAUAUGGAAUGUGUUUUUACUAAUUUUACAUACGCAAACAAAAUGUUAAGUGGAAUAUGUAAUCUCUUUGUGAUAGUUCACAUACAUCUGUUGUAUCUGAGAACUAUGAAUUGUUUUCAUUUCAAUAAUGAAAGUUCUGAGCAUUAACAGCAAAAUGUUUCAAAAUUUUCUACCUGAUUCCGAAGAGAGUAAUUUUAUGCUGUUAUGCGCAUGGCCCACUUUUGAAACACGUAGACAUGGAAUAUUCAGUUCAUUAGUUUGAAUUCUGAAAAGUUUAAUCUUGCUCAUCGUAACAAAAUGUAAGUGUGAAAAAUUGAAUAAUAAAUCCAGAAAGGAGCAUAAAUCUAUUUAACAUUAUUUACAAUCCAGAUUUUUGCUAAAUUAAUCGUUAGUCUAACAUACACAGAGUCCAGAAGUUAGAAAGCGUGUAAUUAGUAAUAUGUUUACACGAAUUUUCAUAUCUCGUUCAAUAAUUAUCCUUUAUUGAUUUAUGAUAAAGUACAAAUCACGUAUAUAAUAUUGUUUGAUAUAAUUGACUUUCUAAUCUACUUUUGUCUGUUAGCACUUUUAAAUCGGUGCCAAUAGGUGCGAAAUUGAUUGAUUUGAUGAUAACGUUCGUGUAAAUGGAUUUUAUAAUUAUUCUAUGGUUACAACCGCCACGUUUAGACUCAAUCAAAAGUGUUAGAUGGCGAAUUAUUGAUGUUUAAUAUCGAUAGGUUGCUGAUACUACAUAACUCCUUUUCGAUUGAUUGUUUCAGAUUCGAACCGAAAUUUAAAGCAAUUACUAACGAAUUCGUAAAUAGCAAUACUGCAAAGACGUUUUUUAGGUAGUAUUGGUAACAAAUUUCGUAAUUAAAUAUGGUAGAAUAUAAAUUUAGUCGCCAAGUGCGCGAUUUUUUUAGCAAUGGAAUUUAACCUGGAAGAUUGAUAACGUACCAUACACUUACAGGGGGAUUUGUAAACAAAAAAAUAUUGAUUUUAUUCGUAUACAAAGGACAAACAUUUGUUUAGUGCUUCCGCGUGCCAAAUAGUUGACGAAUGUGAAAUGAAUGAUAAUCGCGGUAUAAAUUUAGAGAAUCUCAAGUUUUAAUUUGGUUUUUCAUCAAAUUUCAUCCCGUAAGUAUACUUAACUUUUUAAAAUAAUGAUGUUUGUUUUACAGCGACGUGAAUGUUAAUUAAGGAACUCGGGGAUUUAAUACGUGAUUAUUUUCUCUAUGAAGAUUCAAAUUAAUGCGACUGUUCUUAUAAAUGAAAUCGAAGUCGGCAUUUUAAAUUUAUACUUGAGAAAGGGUGAACUAUUAAAUAUUUGGAGGUUAACAUUCUAAUCUUCAAAGCAAAAUCAACGCUUCCCUCAAAUAAUUCAGUUAAAGAAUUGAAUAGCUCUCUCGUUUCGAGAGAAACGUUUUCAUUUUAGCAACGUUAAAUUGGUUUCGAAGAGCGCCGCUUUAUUGGACGUUAAAAGAGUAACAACACGAGUGAAAACUGAAUGGCACUUGUCCGCGAUAAGAACGUAAGUUAUAUAAUAAACACCGAAGCAAUAAUAGUAUUUCACUUAACGCGUAGUGUACUCAUUUUUAACAUUAAUUUUAUUAAUGUGCACCGCGCCAGGUUUUGGCAGUUAAAAUAACGUUUACUUUAGAAAAUUUAAAGUCUCCUGCGGUU